RNAcentral lists this transfer RNA (96 nucleotides) under Pyricularia oryzae. RNAcentral describes it as "tRNA-Ile". The record is from RNAcentral. Lineage: Eukaryota; Fungi; Ascomycota; Sordariomycetes; Magnaporthales; Pyriculariaceae.
GCUCGCUUAGCUCAGUUGGUUAGAGCGUCGUACUAAUAUAUCUAAUCAACAUAUCAAGUAAUGCGAAGGUCGCCAGUUCGACCCUGGUAGUGAGCA